GUUACUAUUUCUGUCAGUCGACUUUGAUGGAUGAUUAGUACUACAUCUGAGAUUCUUUUCAUCAAGAUUUCUUCAUGAAACUUGUUCGAAAUCAUGUCUUCUAUGCUGUGCUCGAAAAUCACAACAAUGCAACGGUUGGAUUGUUCUGAAUCAAGUUGAUCCUCGCAAUGGGUCAUGUUCCUACAGUGAUGUUUAUUUAACCCGUGAGAUCUUCACCUUAAUCUUGCUCUGAAACUUACAGGAGUGCUAAUUGGUGAGUUUCAUGACGUACAUCGAAAGAAUAUCUUCCUUCUUGUUCAAUGUCUAUAUAUUGUUUCAAGUUCAAUAACAUAGUGAUCAUUAGAUAUCAUGUGCCUCUAAGAUCACUCAAAAUAUUAUCUAAUUCUCUUGUGCAAUAUUAGCUUACUCUGUUUCAAGUUUUGACAAGAUCAUCUUUUACAAUCUGCCUUGUAGUCUUGUAGACUGUUUGAUAAAUUGUCCUUGAUAUUGUUGGAUUCACCCUUUGAGUUGAACUUGUUUCAAAAUAGACACCUAAAUUGUCGUUUUAAGAUGGAUUUCUUUUCAGUUGGAGUUAGAUUGAAUUCUUGGUGAUUUUCAAAGUAAACUACGCUGCUGAGAUUUUUAUAAAGUCUGACAGUUCAGUCAGUUUGUAUUCAUCUUUUCCUCACUUCCCAAACUCCAAAUGGCAUGAAAUUUUAAUAUGAUCUACCUUAACCUGUUACCUUUAAAUCUGGAAAGUUUCAUGGUCAUUGGUUUGAAAUUGAAAUUUUAAUGAUUUUCCAAACCUGAGCAGUUUCUUUCAUUCCAACCUUUGUUCUUGUACACUUGGUUCAAAUCCUUCCACUGAGUUCCCAAAUGUACAAAGUUGUAAGAUAUUCAUUUCAAACCUUAUCUUCAUCCUACUUCUUCAUAUGUCACUACUGUCCUUAUGAGUUAUGAGUGAAUUGAGAGUUUAGACAUCGUAAAGGUUGCACAGAAAAUGGAGCAUGAGAUUGCAAAUCUGCGAUUUCUGUUAUACUAGGACUUUGGCCAAGCUUUGGACUGAAAUCAAUGGAGGACCAGUAAAGGAAGUUCAUGCGCAUCGAUAUGUCACUAUGAAUUAACAAUCGAGGUAAGGAGGCUCACCCUAGUUAGCGGCUUUUUUGAAUUCUGUUAUUGUUUGUAAAUGCUUUAUAAAAUUUUCUUACUUGAGUUGAUGAGGAUGACUUGAGAGUGAGCGGGGCAUAGCGACUUCCUUGGGUUUCGAUCCCCUAAAUCUCCGGAGGGGCUGUACGGACGGGAUAGUGUCUGACACCUUUGAGGUGUGACACUAGAUCUAGGUGGUACGGCAUAAAUGGAUACUCUCGCUACUCUUCACCAAUGGUUGAAGAUUUAUAUCUUCGGUGAGGAUGUAGUUGGCUAGUAUUAGACCGGUCAUCAGGUUUGGAUUUUACCCGGGUACUCUUGGAUUUCCAUUUUAUUAUACAUUGGAAAAGCUUCUAUCGAUUUUAUUUCAUUUUAAUCAACUGGCGCCGAUUACUAUUUGGUUUUCAAACCUAGCUAGGGUUGAUGUCUGAGCAACGAGGACGAAAGCUCACCCCUACUAUAGUUGGUCUUGCAGGUACUGUGCACGAGGAUUGAGGAGGACUUUGGGGCUGAGCUGGGUGUUGUGUAUUCACCUUAAACCUUUCGGUAUAAUUGCAUUCACAUAUUCAAUCACCUUUGUUUUAAUUGUCAUUGUUUUCUUUGAGGUGACAGUUUGAUUGUAAUGACCUCAAUCUUUGCUUAGUUCCUUCCGUUAGUUUUCCUUUGGUGUACCAAGUGUUCGAGACCAACUUGAGUUUCAUGAGUCUUAUUCUCCAUUGUUCUAGAUUAAUAACUUCAUUAUUAUGUUCUUUCACAAAAGUGAUGGCUGG
Molecule: long non-coding RNA, 1895 nt
Filed under: Rosa chinensis
Lineage: Eukaryota; Viridiplantae; Streptophyta; Magnoliopsida; Rosales; Rosaceae
Description: sRNA RchiOBHm_Chr1g0323011
Source: RNAcentral